This 219-nucleotide ribosomal RNA is filed under the name Campeiostachys nutans. RNAcentral's name for it is "Elymus nutans partial small subunit ribosomal RNA". The stretch from base 46 to 219 matches the Rfam family "Eukaryotic small subunit ribosomal RNA", at positions 693 to 864 of the family's 1831-position model. The record is from RNAcentral. Lineage: Eukaryota; Viridiplantae; Streptophyta; Magnoliopsida; Poales; Poaceae.
GGACCAUCAUGUCGGUCGUGCCUCGGUACGUACUGGUAUUGUUGGUUUCUCCCUUCUGACGAACCAUGAUGUCAUUUAUUUGGUGUUGUGGGGAAUCAGGACUGUUACUUUGAAAAAAUUAGAGUGUUUAAAGCAGGCAUUAAUUUGCUUGAAUACAUUAGCAUGGAAUAAUGAAAUAGGACGUUUGAUUCUAUUUUGUUGGUUUCUAGGAUCGACGUA